Molecule: ribosomal RNA, 520 nt
Filed under: uncultured Glomus
Lineage: Eukaryota; Fungi; Glomeromycota; Glomeromycetes; Glomerales; Glomeraceae
Description: SSU rRNA
Rfam family: Eukaryotic small subunit ribosomal RNA
Source: RNAcentral
AGCAGCCGCGGUAAUUCCAGCUCCAAUAGCGUAUAUUAAAGUUGUUGCAGUUAAAAAGCUCGUAGUUGAAUUUCGGGGUCAGUAGGCUGGUCGUGCCACGGGUACGUACUGGUUUCACUGAUUCCUCCUUCCUGAAGAACCGUAAUGCCAUUAAUUUGGUGUUGCGGGGAAACAGGACUGUUACUUUGAAAGAAUUAGAGUGUUUAAAGCAGGCUAACGCUUGAAUACAUUAGCAUGGAAUAAUGAAAUAGGACGAUCGAUCCUAUUUUGUUGGUUUCUAGGAUUGACGUAAUGAUUAAUAGGGAUAGUUGGGGGCAUUAGUAUUCAAUUGUCAGAGGUGAAAUUCUUGGAUUUAUUGAAGACUAACUACUGCGAAAGCAUUUGCCAAGGAUGUUUUCAUUAAUCAAGAACGAAAGUUAGGGGAUCGAAGACGAUCAGAUACCGUCGUAGUCUUAACCAUAAACUAUAGCCGACUAGGGAUCGGAUGAUGUUAAUUUUAUAAUGACUCAUUCGGCGCCUU